RNAcentral lists this ribosomal RNA (916 nucleotides) under uncultured bacterium. RNAcentral's name for it is "bacterial SSU rRNA". It matches the Rfam family "Bacterial small subunit ribosomal RNA", at positions 246 to 1155 of the family's 1533-position model. The record is from RNAcentral.
UUGUUGGUAAGGUAAAAGCUUACCAAGGCUUCGAUCAGUAGCUGGUCUGAGAGGACGACCAGCCACACUGGGACUGAGACACGGCCCAGACUCCUACGGGAGGCAGCAGUGGGGAAUUUUGGACAAUGGGGGCAACCCUGAUCCAGCCAUGCCGCGUGAGUGAAGAAGGCCUUCGGGUUGUAAAGCUCUUUCAGCCGGAACGAAACGGUUACGGAUAACACCCGUGACUACUGACGGUACCGGAAGAAGAAGCACCGGCUAACUACGUGCCAGCAGCCGCGGUAAUACGUAGGGUGCGAGCGUUAAUCGGAAUUACUGGGCGUAAAGCGUGCGCAGGUGGUUUUGUAAGUCAGAUGUGAAAGCCCCGGGCUCAACCUGGGAACUGCGUUUGAAACUACAAGACUAGAGUGUGGCAGAGGGGGGUGGAAUUCCGCGUGUAGCAGUGAAAUGCGUAGAGAUGUGGAGGAACACCGAUGGCGAAGGCAGCCCCCUGGGUCAACACUGACGCUCAGGCACGAAAGCAUGGGGAGCAAACAGGAUUAGAUACCCUGGUAGUCCAUGCCCUAAACGAUGUCAACUAGUUGUCGGGCCUUUACGGGCUUGGUAACGUAGCUAACGCGUGAAGUUGACCGCCUGGGGAGUACGAUCGCAAGAUUAAAACUCAAAUGAAUUGACGGGGACCCGCACAAGCGGUGGAUUAUGUGGAUUAAUUCGAUGCAACGCGAAAAACCUUACCUACCCUUGACAUGUAUCGAAGCCCGCAGAAAAGCGGGGGUGCCCGAAAGGGAACGAUAACACAGGUGCUGCAUGGCUGUCGUCAGCUCGUGUCGUGAGAUGUUGGGUUAAGUCCCGCAACGAGCGCAACCCUUGUCAUUAAUUGCCAUCAUCUAGUUGGGCACUUUAAUGAGACUGCCGG